RNAcentral lists this ribosomal RNA (496 nucleotides) under uncultured bacterium. RNAcentral's name for it is "partial 16S ribosomal RNA". It matches the Rfam family "Bacterial small subunit ribosomal RNA", at positions 28 to 506 of the family's 1533-position model. The record is from RNAcentral.
GAUGAACGCUGGCGGCGUGCCUAAUACAUGCGAGUCGAGCGAACAGACGAGGAGCUUGCUCCUCUGACGUUAGCGGCGGACGGGUGAGUAACACGUGGAUAACCUACCUAUAAGACUGGGAUAACUUCGGGAAACCGGAGCUAAUACCGGAUAAUAUAUUGAACCGCAUGGUUCAAUAGUGAAAGACGGUUUUGCUGUCACUUAUAGAUGGAUCCGCGCCGCAUUAGCUAGUUGGUAAGGUAACGGCUUACCAAGGCAACGAUGCGUAGCCGACCUGAGAGGGUGAUCGGCCACACUGGAACUGAGACACGGUCCAGACUCCUACGGGAGGCAGCAGUAGGGAAUCUUCCGCAAUGGGCGAAAGCCUGACGGAGCAACGCCGCGUGAGUGAUGAAGGUCUUCGGAUCGUAAAACUCUGUUAUUAGGGAAGAACAAAUGUGUAAGUAACUAUGCACGUCUGGACGGUACCUAAUCAGAAAGCCACGGCUAACUAAGU